GACAGGAUAGACGAAGCAGGAACCAGGAACUUGUAGUUAGGUGUUUAUUAUAUACAGUGGACUAUUUACAGGAACAGAACACGGAUCUUUAGCUAGCUCUCUCUGACACGACUCACAACUCCUACACUGACACUGAACUCUGAACCUCUGAACUACUGAACUAACACAUCCCAGUUAGUAGGCCAUUAAUUAUCACUCCCUUGAGAGAGCUUGACCAAUCAGGGAGCUGUCUCCAUUGUCUCUGUUAUCACCAGGCAGACUUACUCCUUCACAUGACCUUCUGGCUGGCUGCCAAACCUUAAUUGACUCUGUGUAAGUAGCUGCAUGUACACAGUUUCCCAACAGUGUAGUGGGGUCAAAUUGUUCUGGGCGCAAAAUUUCAACACCUGGUGCUCCCUCAGUACAGUUGUGUGCUUCUGUUUCUGGGCUCCGUGGAACACGGCUUCUCCAUACAAACUAGGAAGUGACCUCUCCAGACAAUGGAGCGACUCUUCUUAUCUCUGUGGCUGCAAUCUGCUGGGUAACACGGAUGCAUACUCCGUCUGUUCCCCUCUGCGUGGCCCCGGGUGCUGGGAACCCAUGCUACGCCACUGUUCUUAAGGGAGAAAGGCACAGCCGAUCCAGAACAUUUUGCUGCCUGAGGCUGAACAGCAAAUAUCAUUCCCCCGCCCCACUGCAAGUCAAAGUACAAAACAGCCAAGAUUGUGCAAGUUAUUUUGCCUGGGGCAUAAAACCCCACAAGUAUCUCUCCUUGGGAGUAAAGAUACAACAAUAAGACAAAUAACUAACCAUUAGCUACCCUUCAGGUGACACUAAAAUCAGCUGCCUGAGCGGGCCAACUCACCCUGCCGAUUGAUAGGACAGGGCCUGAAAAUGUCAUUAUUAUCUAGUCUACACUUUUGUAUUCCUUCCAUUUCUGUUGUUAACUUUUCUUCUGUUCUUACUGUUACCGCAAUACAAACAAUACUGGAGACUUCCCAGCGUCUUAAGCGAAGGGGGUAUUCAUUGCUCGGUUUUGGACCUGGAGUCGAUUCAGUCUGAAGGAGUGGGAGAAGGCAAUUAUUGGAUGUCACACUAGAGAAUAUUACUGUUUCUGCUUGAGCGGCUGGAAAAUGGGAAUAUAUGCUGAGACGGUUUAAAUAAGUCAUCCAAGAUAAGUCUGACAGUCUGCGGUAGACCUGGGAUCAAUGCCCAAACUUCCUGAUUUUACCACCGUACUUUUAUGAAUAUUUGAACUCUAAUCUUCCAAGUGGAGGGUGGAAAGCACUCCUCACUCCACCCUCAACAUUCACGAGCAAAAUAGAGUCUGCCCAGGCUGUUCCGACUAAUGGGCACCUGAAACAUUUGUUCCAGGUAUCAGUUUGGGAGAUAUUGCCGGUAGCUAACCAGCAGUUGUUUGUUAAGAGUGAAUCUGGAGGUUGCUUGGCAACACACUUUCAUACACACACACACUCCUCAAAAAGGGGGGGGGAGGAUAAGGAGGCAUGGUUGAAGAGUUCAAAAUAUCUAGCUGCGUAUGAACAGUGAGAAGACAGCACAUUAUGGUGACAGAAGGAAUUGGGAAGAGGCACAGCAUCUGACCUGGCAAUGGUGAGAUGAGGAGGCUGUGCAUCUUCAUCAAAACGUUGCAAACUUCCUUAUAAAGAUUUUGGAAGCACAUGGAAUGAGUCUCACUGCACAUCCUGACUCUAAAAAAAUAAAGACCAAGUUUUAUAAUGGGGCUUUAAUGACCUGAAGGGACGCGGGUGGCGCUGUGGGUUAAACCACAGAGCCUAGGACUUGCCGAUCAGAAGGUCGGCGGUUCGAAUACCCACGACGGGGUGAGCUCCCGUUGCUCGGUCCCUGCUCCUGCCAACCUAGCAGUUUGAAAGCACCUCAAAGUGCAAGUAGAUAAAUAGGUACCACUCCGGCGGGAAGGUAAACGGCGUUUCCAUGCGCUGCUCUGGUUCACCAGAGUCAUGCUGGCCACAUGACCCAGAAGCUGUACGCCGGCUCCCUCGGCCAAUAAAGCGAUAUGAGCGCCGCAACCCCAGAGUCGGUCACGACUGGACCUAAUGGUCAGGGGUCCCUUUACCUUUAAUGACAUGAAGCAGUGAGAGACAAGUGAGGAAGGUGGAAGAUGUGCAAAUCCACGAUUCUCACCUAUAAUGGCCGUUUCUCAAGGCUGUCAUUCCUCUUUGGAGUCCUCAUGUUUACAUUCCCCUGCAAAAAGAUUUCCGUGAGGCAGCUCACUUUGGGAAACAGAUUGGCCUACACUUCAUAUUGCACCCCAUCAAAGGGGAAGGAGGGGGGCUGUUUUUGACUCGCCAUGUCUGGCUUUGGGUAUUUAGGUUAAUACCAUUAAUGUGUGUCACCAAAUGCAAGUUAUACAAAUGGAAUUUUUCUGUCAGCUCUUCUGUGCGCACUUCAGGCUGAGCGGCAGCAACCAAGGUUUAUGUGGAUUUAGCUCAAGUAAUACUCAAAUCUUUAAGGGCUGAGGCCUGUCUAGGAGAGAACAUGUGUCUAAAACACACACACAAAAAUAGUCUUAAAGUCAUAGAGCUACUAUUGAAAGAUUAUGAAGCAGAACAAUAUCUCCCCCCCCCAACAAGUACAGUUUUCAACUAGCUAGUAUUUUAUUGGUUUGGCUGAGGGAAGUGGCAGGGGGUGAGAUUUGCAACAGGGAUCAGCACCUCUGUAGAGAAUGUAACAUCUAAACCAGUUCUCUUUUACCAGAUUCCUAUUAAGCUCUCCCCGUGACCUGUUUUGAACUGGCUCCAUUCGCUACCCAGGGA
RNAcentral lists this long non-coding RNA (2774 nucleotides) under Podarcis lilfordi (Lilford's wall lizard). Lineage: Eukaryota; Metazoa; Chordata; Lepidosauria; Squamata; Lacertidae. The record is from RNAcentral.